Molecule: ribosomal RNA, 497 nt
Filed under: uncultured bacterium
Lineage: Bacteria
Description: partial 16S ribosomal RNA
Rfam family: Bacterial small subunit ribosomal RNA
Source: RNAcentral
GAUGAACGCUGGCGGCGUGCCUAAUACAUGCAAGUCGAGCGAACGGACGAGAAGCUUGCUUCUCUGAUGUUAGCGGCGGACGGGUGAGUAACACGUGGUUAACCUACCUAUAAGACUGGGAUAACUUCGGGAAACCGUAGCUAAUACCGGAUAAUAUUUUGAACCGCAUGGUUCAAAAGUGAAAGACGGUCUUGCUGUCACUUAUAGAUGGAUCCGCGCUGCAUUAGCUAGUUGGUAAGGUAACGGCUUACCAAGGCAACGAUGCAUAGCCGACCUGAGAGGGAGAUCAGCCACAAUCGAACUGAGACACGUUCAAGACGCCUACGGGAGGCAGCAGUAGGGAAUCUUCCGAAAUGGGCGAAAGCCUGACGGGGCAACGCCGCGUGAGUGAUGAAGGUCUUCGGAUCGUAAAACUCUGGUAUUCGGGAAGAACAUAUGUGUAGGUAACUGUGAACAUCUUGACGGUACCUAAUCAGAAAGCCAGGGCUAGCUACGUG